Molecule: ribosomal RNA, 253 nt
Filed under: uncultured bacterium
Lineage: Bacteria
Description: partial 16S ribosomal RNA
Rfam family: Bacterial small subunit ribosomal RNA
Source: RNAcentral
UACGAAGGGGGCUAGCGUUGCUCGGAAUCACUGGGCGUAAAGCGCACGUAGGCGGCUUUCUAAGUCAGGGGUGAAAUCCUGGAGCUCAACUCCAGAACUGCCUUUGAUACUGCGAAUCUCGAGUCCGGAAGAGGUGAGUGGAAUUCCUAGUGUAGAGGUGAAAUUCGUAGAUAUUCGCAAGAACACCAGUGGCGAAGGCGGCUCACUGGCCCGAUACUGACGCUGAGGUGCGAAAGCGUGGGGAGCAAACAGG